CCCGGGCCUUGUACACACCGCCCGUCACACCACGGAAGUCGGUAACACCCGAAGCCAGUGGCCCAACCCUUGUGGAGGGAGCUGUCGAAGGUGGGAUCGGCGAUUGGGGUG
RNAcentral lists this ribosomal RNA (111 nucleotides) under uncultured bacterium. RNAcentral's name for it is "partial 16S ribosomal RNA". It matches the Rfam family "Bacterial small subunit ribosomal RNA", at positions 1373 to 1482 of the family's 1533-position model. The record is from RNAcentral.